Molecule: long non-coding RNA, 1404 nt
Filed under: Equus asinus (donkey)
Lineage: Eukaryota; Metazoa; Chordata; Mammalia; Perissodactyla; Equidae
Description: lncRNA (ENSEASG00005010898.2)
Source: RNAcentral
CAUGGCUUGAUGAGCUGUGCCAUGCUCGGACGGACCUGAACCGGGAACCUCGGGACCCCCGAAGUGGAGCCUGUGAUCUUGACCACUGUGCCACGGCCGGCCCCUUGGGGUAGCUUUCUAAGAGCAACAAGCUGGUGGACACGAUUGUGUGUCGAAGCUGCUCCUGUUACAGAAGAGCGAGGAGAGGAGGCCCCAGCGCGUGCACGCCGAGGUGUCCUCUGCGGGAGCGCGCGGGGCCCUAGAGGCGUCGCGGGCCGUCACCUCCCGGGAGAAGAGCGGCCCCUCCUCGCUGCGCCGCCGCCGACCGGCCGGGAGAUGGUGCUGCGCCCUCGGCCCCGGCGGGACGGCGGCGCGGAUCGCCGAGCGCGGGCCGGACAGAGCGACGGGCCGGCCUGGCCUCCCCGCUUCCCGCGAUGCGAGGCCGGAGCCCGCGGCGCCCGUUGUGCCGGGCUCCCCCGCGGCCGCCGAAGCUGAGGACGGCCUCCGCGUCUUCCUCCGCAAAGGGACGGUUUGGGCUCGCACUGCGGGGUGACAGAGCCCUUCGGGCCGCCGGCUCCAGCAGCAGCGAUGACGGUCCUCACGUCUACGGGGUGACGGGGGCCCUGCGCUCGCUCUCGGGGGUCGCGCCCGACCAUCCCCGCGCCUCGGCUGCAUCGCUGCCCCUGCUCCGGGGGGAGCGGUCGCCGGGCCUGCGGGUCAGGCCGCCUGGUCCGUAGGUUCCGCCCCGUCGCCUGGGCCACAUCUGCUGGUCGCAGCAGGUCCAAGGCCAGCUCGACCCAACGGGCGGGGUCAUAGGCCCCAGCUCUCCGUGGACCGGGAUAAAUCACACGCCCGCGAGCAUGCUGGGAGGCGGACUUCGGGGCCAUCCUAUUUGAUCCGCAAAAACAGGGCAGGAGGGAGAUAACGGAGGGAGACGGUGAAGCAGCUGGGCUACACGGACAAGUUCCUCACUCCAGUACAUCGGGGAGUUAUUCGUGCUCAGGCUGGUGGCAAGCUUCCCCUUGAGCUCGUCACGUUCUUCAGUGCAGCACAACACAGAGUAAAGGUCCAUGGGUGUUUAUGCGGCGGCUGGAGCAGCCAGAAGAACCCUCUGCUCACCAACACCUUCCUCUGUCUCCCAAGUCCUUCCUGUCGGCUCCUUGCAGACAGACGGCUAAGUUCACCUGGGCACAAACAAGUCAAAGGCUUCCUUAUGCUGGUUCCAGACAUCCACCACGAAUGUGGAUGAUGAGCCUAUGGGGCUGCCGCACUGCAGAGCCAACACGGGGUGAAAAUGAAUCGAGCACGUCCUGCAGGUGCCUCUGCUGAGGGAUCUUUUCACGCUGAGGACACUGAACAGAGAGAAUAUGCAGCUGGUCACAGAAAGCCGUUCAGCUAUUUCAAAGCUUCUACACAAAACAAAAC